RNAcentral lists this long non-coding RNA (202 nucleotides) under Citrus sinensis (sweet orange). Its description in RNAcentral is "long non-coding RNA (CSIN_LNC004803)". Lineage: Eukaryota; Viridiplantae; Streptophyta; Magnoliopsida; Sapindales; Rutaceae. The record is from RNAcentral.
CAAAAGGAUCAAGAGAACUAGAGCCAGCAAACUCACUAAUCUCACUCCUCUGAACUAUGCAGUUACUCUUACCAACACUAUUUGGAUUAGCAGAAUUGUAGCUUAUCAACAACUCUUUAAGGCUAUUACACAACUCCUCAACCUUCUUGGUAUCAUACAAACUACUAAAACACCAUGUAACAAAGUCCAUUUUACAUUGAUG